AUCUAGCCGACGAGUCCCAAAUGGGGCGAAAUGCGAAUCCUGGAU
RNAcentral lists this non-coding RNA (45 nucleotides) under Trichobilharzia regenti. Lineage: Eukaryota; Metazoa; Platyhelminthes; Trematoda; Strigeidida; Schistosomatidae. The record is from RNAcentral.